CUGGAGAGAACGAGGGAGAAGGAGGAGGACACACCCCGGGGCCAAAAGCCAGGCAGCCGCCAGCCAAGCAUAGCAACAGCAGGAAGGCGAGAUAUAUAGAAGGAGAGAAAGCACCGAGAGCUCCAGGAAAGCAGGGCCCUUACCCUCCUGUGAUCUGACCCCAAGCCGAUGUGGUUUGCAUCUGGGAAACUCAAUCCCCAGUCAGCCUCUUGGGAGUGGACAUGGGACCUGUUGUGUUGACGCUGCUAAUGUAUAUGGAUGUUUUGCCUAUAUGUAUGCCUAUGCACCAUGUAUAUGCAGUGCCUGCAGAGGCCAGAAGAGGGCACCAGAUCCCCUGGAACUGGAGUGACAGACUGU
This 357-nucleotide long non-coding RNA is filed under the name Cricetulus griseus (Chinese hamster). RNAcentral's name for it is "lncRNA (ENSCGRG00015034290.1)". Lineage: Eukaryota; Metazoa; Chordata; Mammalia; Rodentia; Cricetidae. The record is from RNAcentral.